Alnus glutinosa is the source of this 492-nucleotide long non-coding RNA. RefSeq lists it as uncharacterized. The transcript is spliced from 3 exons. The record is from RefSeq and is a predicted model, not a curated record. NCBI's taxonomy places the organism in Eukaryota, Viridiplantae, Streptophyta, Magnoliopsida, Fagales, Betulaceae.
AGGUCAGUGUGUAAAAAAAAGAGGCAACGCCUCUUCAUUUUCUUUUUGAAUAGAGGCUUCUCUGUCAUUUUUCUUUUAGAGAUUUUCAUAGAAAAAUUAUGAUCUACGAAGAUCCAACGGUCCAAUCUUAGAUCCAACUUCGAUAACAUAAUCCUCGAAACUCGAUCUACGCAUUGACCAAACGAUUUGAGAUUUUGUCUGGUUUGGAAUUGCUAGGAGCUUCCCAAGCAUUUGGUCAUUGCUCGGUGAAUUUUUGAUGAUAAUUCUAUGAUUGCAGGUACUCUUGAGCUGGAUGAUGAUCCGGUAGCGUUUUAUUUGGGUUACUACGAUUAAAGCCCGUAGCGACAGUCGUAGUGGGUUGGACUAUGGUGUCCUUAUUUUGAGUACUUUUGUAUAUGGCUUGUGACGUAUGUGUCACUUAUUAUUUUGUAUAAGUAAUUCUUUUGUAAUAGUUAUAUGUAGUCACUUUUGUAUAAAUAACAGGUUUAUUUA